RNAcentral lists this unclassified non-coding RNA (89 nucleotides) under Pseudomonas brassicacearum. Lineage: Bacteria; Pseudomonadati; Pseudomonadota; Gammaproteobacteria; Pseudomonadales; Pseudomonadaceae. The record is from RNAcentral.
UGUGGGAGCGAGCUUGCUCGCGAUGGCGGAGUGUCAGUCUCUAUCUCUGUAACUGAUCCACCGCUAUCGCGAGCAAGCUCGCUCCCACA